Long non-coding RNA from Hibiscus syriacus, 151 nucleotides. RefSeq lists it as uncharacterized. The record is from RefSeq and is a predicted model, not a curated record. Lineage: Eukaryota; Viridiplantae; Streptophyta; Magnoliopsida; Malvales; Malvaceae. The transcript has 3 exons.
CCAAAUUCCCAAAUGCGUCAAAUAUUCCCUCCUAAAGCAAGUCCCGUACUAAAAAAUAUGAAACAAUGUAUAUUCACAUGCCCACUAGCAGACAUCAAGUUAUGGCUGAGCAGCACAUCGCACCUUGGGGUGGGGGAGAGACUAUCGCAAC